GGAAUAUCUGUUAAUUUCUAGUGAGGGAGAUGUGGUCUGUUCCUUAAAAGGGCAUGUGUUGCUAGGUUUCAGGAUGAAUUUCUGCUUUCAGAAUCCAUGUGGAAUCUAACACUAUAAAACAAUGCCAAGAACAAAGGAAGGAAAAGGAAAAACUAAAGGGACACCCCUACCCAUUGUUCCUAUUCUUCAGAAGUUCCUAAAAACCUAUGAGAAGCAUUGUGCACAGUCUCAGACAUCUGUGUGUCCAAUCAUCAGAAGGGACCUGAAAGCCAGUAUCGACAGUGAACAGAUUCUCAGGAAGUUUAUACUUGUAAGACCUGAUGAUUCCACACCAAGCAUCCUACCGGUUUCUUUGGAACCUCUGCUCAUGACAAUUCGAGAUGAGCGUUACACACUGGGGAAAGAGCUUUGCAUCUGGGGUCUUCAACUGAACAACCCAGAGGUUGCCAGGCUCGCUCUGCUUCUGGAAUUGAAAGGACGUACCAGCUACCCAUUUACCACUCUAGAAAUCGUUGAUUGCAAAAUGGAUCUGUGGUCUCUAGGGCGACUUGGAAAGGCCCUGCCGUUCAGUCAUUUGCACUCUCUUGUCCUCGAUUACUGCAAAUUUGAGGAGGAGGACAUGGAGCGGGUUCUCUCAGGCCUGGAGAAGAGCCAGAGGCUUCAGGGCCUCAGCCUGCGUUACUGCGGGCUGGGGCCGCCCAGCGGGCCGGGGCUGGGCUCGCUGCUCGGCCAGGGCGCCCUUCGGGAGCUGCAUCUUGAUGGCAAUUAUUUGCAAUGCUCCGGGGCCCUGGCUCUCCUCGGACCCAUAGCAGAGCACGCGGAGAUGCAGGGCAAAGAGCAGCCAGCCACGUCGUCACCAGCCACCAGAAACCCCCCUCAGCCACUCCCAGCCGGACAGAGAGGAAGUUCAAUUUUGAAUCAGAUUACAAAAUCAUCUGGAGCUGUAACAGUGAAAAGUAUAUCAGGGAAGAAAGAGAGAGAACAAGGAAUCAAGAAAAAAAGUAAAGGUUUGCCUGAAGCUGGUCCUUGGUUAGUGAAAUUGCAUUUGGCUGAUAAUGGCAUAGAUGGAAAAGGAAAAGGAGGAGAAAAGGACAUACUGGAAUUCAUUCAAAUUUU
RNAcentral lists this long non-coding RNA (1116 nucleotides) under Dasypus novemcinctus (nine-banded armadillo). RNAcentral describes it as "lncRNA (ENSDNOG00000050880.1)". Lineage: Eukaryota; Metazoa; Chordata; Mammalia; Cingulata; Dasypodidae. The record is from RNAcentral.